Molecule: ribosomal RNA, 490 nt
Filed under: uncultured bacterium
Lineage: Bacteria
Description: partial 16S ribosomal RNA
Rfam family: Bacterial small subunit ribosomal RNA
Source: RNAcentral
AUUGAACGCUGGCGGCAGGCUUAACACAUGCAAGUCGAACGGUAACAUAAAGGAGCUUGCUUCUUUGAUGACGAGUGGCGGACGGGUGAGUAAUGCUUGGGAAUCUAGCUUAUGGAGGGGGAUAACUACGGGAAACUGUAGCUAAUACCGCGUAGAAUCGGGAGAUGAAAGUGUGGGACCUUCGGGCCACAUGCCAUAGGAUGAGCCCAAGUGGGAUUAGGUAGUUGGUGAGGUAAAGGCUCACCAAGCCGACGAUCUCUAGCUGGUCUGAGAGGAUGACCAGCCACACUGGGACUGAGACACGGCCCAGACUCCUACGGGAGGCAGCAGUGGGGAAUAUUGCGCAAUGGGGGCAACCCUGACGCAGCCAUGCCGCGUGAAUGAAGAAGGCCUUCGGGUUGUAAGGUUCUUUCGGUAGCGAGGAAGGCAUUUAGUUUAAUAGACUAGGUGAUUGACGUUAACUACAGAAGAAGCACCGGCUAACUCCGUG